AUGGCUCAGGAUGAACGCUGGCGGCGUGCCUAAUACAUGCAAGUCGAACGAGAGAGCUUGCUCUCUAGUGGCGAACGGGUGAGUAACACGUAGGUAACCUGCCUUACAGUUGGGAUACCCUGGCGAAAGCUAGGCUAAUACCGAAUAAUUGGAUUGGAGGCAUCUCCGAUCUCUAAAAGGGGCCUUUAAAGCCUCGCUGAAUGAUGGACCUGCGGCGCAUUAGCUAGUUGGUGAGAUAACAGCCCACCAAGGCGAGGAUGCGUAGCCGACCUGAGAGGGUGAACGGCCACACUGGAACUGAGACACGGUCCAGACUCCUACGGGAGGCAGCAGUAGGGAGUUUUCGGCAAUGGGGGCAACCCUGACCGAGCAACGCCGCGUGAAUGAUGAAGGUCUUCGGAUUGUAAAGUUCUGUUAUAAGGGAAAAAUGAUAGGGUGAGGAAAUGCUCUCUAUUUGAUGGUACCUUAUUAGAAAGCCGCGGCUAACUACGUGCCAGCCGCCGC
Molecule: ribosomal RNA, 504 nt
Filed under: uncultured bacterium
Lineage: Bacteria
Description: bacterial SSU rRNA
Rfam family: Bacterial small subunit ribosomal RNA
Source: RNAcentral